This 635-nucleotide long non-coding RNA is filed under the name Mus spretus (western wild mouse). RNAcentral describes it as "lncRNA (ENSMSPG00010048257.1)". Lineage: Eukaryota; Metazoa; Chordata; Mammalia; Rodentia; Muridae. The record is from RNAcentral.
AGGAGGUAAUUUACUAUUUAUUUUUUUAAAAAUAUCAUGCAUGGCCUUGGCCCAAAAUGGAGACCUAAAACCAACGUGUCACCAAGUAAAAUUAGGUCUCAAAGGGCCAUCUCCUCUCAGCCUGGGUAUUAUGCCUCUCCUGUGAUACUACCCUUAAGAAAUUAUAACACUCAUUUACAGCCAAGGACUCACAGUGUCUAACUAUAGGAAUUACAUGUGCUUAUGUGGGUAAACCAAUACAUAUGAAUUUUCUGCUAUAGCCAAUGAAUGAUGAGGGGCCUAAGAAAAUGAAGGGUAUUUUGGGGGAAGUUCAAAACCCACUGAAGAGUCUUGGAAUGGUGGUGCAUGCCUUUAAUUUCGCUGCUCAGUGGCAGAAAUAGGCACAUCUCUGCGAGUUCAAGGACAGCUUGGUCUACAUAGUAAGUCCAGGGCAGCCAGGGCUACAUACAGAGAGAGACAACUAAGCUAGAAGUGGUGGCACAGGCCUUUAAUCCCAGCACUCAGGAGACUGUGGAAGGAUCACUGAGUGAUCAAGACCAGCCCGGCCUAGAUGGUGAGUUCCAAGAUAGCCAAGAGUACAUAAAGAGACCUUGUCUCAAAAUUAAUUAAUUAAAAUUCAAAUAAGAGUCCUUCAA